This 454-nucleotide ribosomal RNA is filed under the name Toxoplasma gondii. Its description in RNAcentral is "SSU rRNA". It matches the Rfam family "Eukaryotic small subunit ribosomal RNA", at positions 624 to 1086 of the family's 1831-position model. Lineage: Eukaryota; Apicomplexa; Conoidasida; Eucoccidiorida; Sarcocystidae. The record is from RNAcentral.
AAGCUCGUAGUUGGAUUUCUGCUGGAAGCAGCCAGUCCGCCCUCAGGGGUGUGCACUUGGUGAAUUCUAGCAUCCUUCUGGAUUUCUCCACACUUCAUUGUGUGGAGUUUUUUCCAGGACUUUUACUUUGAGAAAAUUAGAGUGUUUCAAGCAGGCUUGUCGCCUUGAAUACUGCAGCAUGGAAUAAUAAGAUAGGAUUUCGGCCCUAUUUUGUUGGUUUCUAGGACUGAAGUAAUGAUUAAUAGGGACGGUUGGGGGCAUUCGUAUUUAACUGUCAGAGGUGAAAUUCUUAGAUUUGUUAAAGACGAACUACUGCGAAAGCAUUUGCCAAAGAUGUUUUCAUUAAUCAAGAACGAAAGUUAGGGGCUCGAAGACGAUCAGAUACCGUCGUAGUCUUAACCAUAAACUAUGCCGACUAGAGAUAGGAAAACGUCAUGCUUGACUUCUCCUGCAC